Non-coding RNA from Oryza sativa Japonica Group (Japanese rice), 1067 nucleotides. The record is from RefSeq and is a predicted model, not a curated record. NCBI's taxonomy places the organism in Eukaryota, Viridiplantae, Streptophyta, Magnoliopsida, Poales, Poaceae.
AAAAAAACCGUCACCCAGACCGCCCACGCCUCCUCCUCCACCUUUCGCCGCCGCGCCUCCUCCUCCUCCUCCUUCCGCCGCCGCGCCUCCACACCGUCUCCUCCCCUCUUCCUCAACCGCGGUGCCCUAUCGCCGGGGAAAUCGCCACCCCCUACGCCUAAAACGAGCUCGGUCGUCGUCGCUAGCACACCAACUGUGCUACCCCUCCAAAGUCGCCCCGCCACACACAGCCGAUCAUCGGGGAAGACCUUGCUGCUUGGCCCCUCCCCUUUGCCGCACCCCGCGUCGGCUACGGUGAUCGAAUUUGUGAAGCAUCAGACAUGCAGAAUUAAUUAUUUUCCCCUUAUUUUCUUGGUUUUCCUGCAAUUAUAAUCUGCAUUUUCCUGAGCCAUGGAGAUCUCUGAUGAUGUGUGGGGGAUGUAUGUGUGUUCUUCAGUGAUUCAGUGUGGAUGCAUCUUGUCACACCCCUGAACUAAGAGUUCUGUAGCCAUCCAUGGAAAGAAAAGUGAUGCAAAAAGAAACUGGCAAGUGUCAAUUCAGAGAUAUGGCCACUUUGGAAUUCAAGACCAUAUGGAUAGCUGCUGCAUAUUGUGAUUAUUUUGGUUCAAUAAUUGCAGCAGGGGCACAUGGUUCGGGGCGUGUGCUCUGGUGCACAUCCUUCCUCGACAACCAGCUGUCGAUGGCAAGAUUUUCACUUCUGCAUUGAUGAACAGACCCAAGGUUGCAUAGCCCGGUUCCAAGCAGACUGUUGGGAGCAAGUGCUUUGCCAAGUGUGUGACAAAGCCAGGCUCAAGCUUGAGCGGUAGCGAGAGCAGUUGCAUAUCUCGCUGUGUUGAUCAUUACAUUGAGGCAACUGGUAUUGUCAGCCGAGCUCUAUUCAGUACCACACGCUGAGUGAAGAUGUAGCCUUUAGUUUCUGCUUAAAUCAGAAUGAGGGAAAUGCUUUCCUAGAUUCGUUAUUUUUGUCUUCUAAUCUGUGAGAAAAAGAACAACCUUUAUUAAUUAAGUGCCAACUAUUAGCUAUGCUGGUUUUCAGCUGAUAAAAGCCGUAAAUUCUGCUUUGCACA